Molecule: small nuclear RNA, 107 nt
Filed under: Sciurus vulgaris (Eurasian red squirrel)
Lineage: Eukaryota; Metazoa; Chordata; Mammalia; Rodentia; Sciuridae
Source: RNAcentral
GUGCUCACUUUGGCAGCACAUAUACUAAAAUUGGAACUAUACAGAGAAGAUCAGUAUGACCUCUGUGCAAGGAUGACACAAAAAUUUGUAAAGAUUUUCAUAUUUAG